AUGGCAGAGAUAGAAUAAAAACAGAAAAAUGGCGACGGUCACGUUGUGGCGAGCCUUGCUGCGUCAUUAGAUAAUCCUCAUGCAAAUAGCGGGAAGAACAAAGGAAGGGGGGCCCGGGACCCCCGGGGGCGCAGGAUCCGGCGGGAGGAGUCUAAGAGGAGGAGGCGGCGGUGCAGGAGGAGGAAGAGGAGGGAGGGAAGAGAGAGGAAGACCGGAGUCCCCGCGGCGGCGGCGGUCCGGAGAGAGGGCGAGCCCCGCGCGGCGCUGGGGACCGGGCGCUACCACGAGGCCGGGAGGCUGGAGUCUGGGG
RNAcentral lists this long non-coding RNA (310 nucleotides) under Pongo abelii (Sumatran orangutan). Its description in RNAcentral is "lincRNA". Lineage: Eukaryota; Metazoa; Chordata; Mammalia; Primates; Hominidae. The record is from RNAcentral.